AUGGGAUUUUAUCUACCCGAUUGCGGGCCGCGCCGCCGCGACGCCGUCUACUGGCGGCAAUCGCUCUACGUCCAUUGCCGCGGCGGUUUCAUCAUCAGGUUGUCGCUGCUGACGGGAAAGUAUGUGGUGAUCAAAACCCCAGGAGUCACCAAAGUCGCCGAGCGUCCGUGGGCUAUGCCACGCCUGGGCAAGUCUCGGAAGGGGGUUUACUGCACCAUCAUCAACAUGCUAAAUCUCCAGGUAUGGGUACUGACCGAAGAAGAAUCACCGACGGCAACGCCGGUGUGGGAGAUGGCACAUCACGCCGACCUCGAGCCCUCCGUCGGGCAACUGAUGCGCAAAAACCUCCAAACCACUGAGAAGUCUUGGAUCCUGGACGAUCCCAGGAGACGGAAAUCAUCUGCGGAACAGAGAUGCCGAGAAUGGGACUCUGACAACGACGACGAUGAUGGCGCCUAUGUCGAGGAAGAAGAAGGGGGUGGCGCCUUUGGUUGGCUGGAUUUCUUGGGGUACCAUCCUCAUAAGGAGAUUGUGUUCUUGGGCCACCAGUACAAGCGUUGCGCUUAUGCCUACUACCUGAGCACCUCCAAGCUUGAGUACCUUGGUGAUCUUUGCCCGACUAGCCCUUGCAAUGAUGUAAUUUUCAGGUGGAACUCAAUGAUUUUACAUAUACAUGAGCUUGCUGAAAUUACUUUGCACAGUCUGCUUUCUGGACCUUGUGUCCUUGCACACUGGUCCAGCUGA
RNAcentral lists this ribosomal RNA (744 nucleotides) under Triticum aestivum (bread wheat). RNAcentral's name for it is "partial small subunit ribosomal RNA". The record is from RNAcentral. Lineage: Eukaryota; Viridiplantae; Streptophyta; Magnoliopsida; Poales; Poaceae.